UCCGUAGGUGGAUAAUUAAGUCAGAGGUGAAAUCCUGCAGCUCAACUGUAGAAUUGCCUUUGAUACUGGUUAUCUUGAGUCAUUAUGAAGUGGUUAGAAUGCGUAGUGUAGCGGUGAAAUGCAUAGAUAUUACACAGAAUACCGAUUGCGAAGGCAGAUCACUAAUAAUGUACUGACACUGAGGGACGAAAGCGUGGGGAGCGAACAGGAUUAGAUACCCUGGUAGUCC
Molecule: ribosomal RNA, 229 nt
Filed under: uncultured bacterium
Lineage: Bacteria
Description: partial 16S ribosomal RNA
Rfam family: Bacterial small subunit ribosomal RNA
Source: RNAcentral